ACCAAGUUCGUCGACGUGCGGUGCAGGAAGUCCUUCCGGACGUUGCGAUGGGCCCGGGCCACCUUCUCCUUCGCCUUGUGCCGAUUGUUCGAGCCGCGCUGCUCGCGCGCCAUGCGGCGCUGGUACCGGGUCAGGUCGCGGGCCUUGCGGUCCAGAUGCCGCGGAUUGGCGAUGCGUUCGCCGUCCGAGGUGACGGCGAAAUCCCUCACGCCCAGAUCGGUGCCUGCAGCACGCCCGGCCUCCGGCUCGAGUUCGGGCUCGUCGGUAUCGACACUGAAGGUGACGAACCAGCGCCCGUCCGGCCCGCGAGCAACCACCAUCGUGGGGUUCAGUGCGGUCACGUCAACGUCGGGCCCGGACCACACGAAGCACCGGGCUCACCUGCUUCGCCAGGAACAGCUUCCCGUCGCGGAUCCGAAAUGCCGACCGGGUGUAGCGCGCCGUCUGACGACCGCUCCUGCUCUUGUACCGGGGAUAGCGGGCCCGAGCGGCGAAAAAUGCUGAAACGCGGGGUGCUGGUGCCGCAAAGUCUGCUGCAACGGCACCGACGGCACCUCGGACAGAAACGCCAGCUCGCCGG
Molecule: antisense RNA, 580 nt
Filed under: Halosaccharopolyspora lacisalsi
Lineage: Bacteria; Bacillati; Actinomycetota; Actinomycetes; Pseudonocardiales; Pseudonocardiaceae
Description: Saccharopolyspora lacisalsi Saccharopolyspora sRNA 389
Rfam family: Saccharopolyspora sRNA 389
Source: Rfam by way of RNAcentral